RNAcentral lists this ribosomal RNA (460 nucleotides) under uncultured bacterium. RNAcentral's name for it is "partial 16S ribosomal RNA". It matches the Rfam family "Bacterial small subunit ribosomal RNA", at positions 338 to 795 of the family's 1533-position model. The record is from RNAcentral.
CCUACGGGGGGCAGCAGUGAGGAAUAUUGGUCAAUGGACGAGAGUCUGAACCAGCCAAGUAGCGUGAAGGAUGACUGCCCUAUUGGUUGUAAACUUCUUUUAUAUGGGAAUAAAAUGUUCCACGUGUGGGAUUUUGUAUGUACCAUAUGAAUAAGGAUCGGCUAACUCCGUGCCAGCAGCCGCGAUAAUACGGAGGAUCCGAGCGUUAUCCGGAUUUAUUGGGUUUAAAGGGAGCGUAGGUGGAUUGUUAAGUCAGUUGUGAAAGUUUGCGGCUCAACCGUAAAAUUGCAGUUGAAACUGGCAGUCUUGAGUACAGUAGAGGUGGGCGGAAUUCGUGGUGUAGCGGUGAAAUGCUUAGAUAUCACGAAGAACUCCGAUUGCGAAGGCAGUUCACUGGACUGCAACUGACACUGAGGCUCGAAAGUGUGGGUAUCAAACAGGAUUAGAUACCCCAGUAGUC